Long non-coding RNA from Ornithodoros turicata, 6773 nucleotides. RefSeq lists it as uncharacterized. The record is from RefSeq and is a predicted model, not a curated record. The transcript has 2 exons. NCBI's taxonomy places the organism in Eukaryota, Metazoa, Arthropoda, Arachnida, Ixodida, Argasidae.
CCUACUGUGCCUGUACACCUGCGCCAUGAUGAAUGAGAGAUAUCCAUGCGUGACGAAAUAGACAGGCAGUGCACUCUACAUAACGGCAUUUCAUGGUUGCGUAGUGGGCUGCCACCGUGCAAGCUUCCCAUCCGCACCACUCCCGACGAUAACCUGAUAUCCUCAGGAUGAAUUUCUUCGGCGUGAUACUAGUCGCCAUGCAUGUCCUGUACGUGCAACAUGCUGAGUCCCGAAGCAACCCUGCGGUGCAACGUGAAAUGAAGGAAUUGUCUUCAGUUACACAGAACGACCGGUCAAGCAUGGGGAUAGGACGACAAAUGAGUUCUUUAAAGAGCACAGGGUGGAACAUGCAGAAUUCAUUACAAGGUUCAAGUUUUUCACGAAGUUCCAGGCGGAGCAAUCAUGUUAUCCGGCAUAAAGUCAAUUCUACGCACAAUGCCGUGUCGAGCAUUGGAGAUGCGCAGGAUUACAGGUCUUUGCAACUUCACCAGUCGAGAAAGAAAGCUACACAUAGGGAAGAGAGAGCGCAUACUGUCGUGACGGAUCACCAAAGAGCAAAGAAAGUCGACAGUUCUGCACAAGCUGCAUGGUCGAGCAGCCAUGGUACACACCGAAGUAACAAGUUCUCACAAACUGAACUGUCAAGCAGUCACCAAGGCACUGCCGCACCCAACACAGAGCUGAGCUGGAAGAAUGGCAAUAAAGGAUUCAGUUCCACAAUAAAUACGGGGUCCAUCACCCGGGGUGCACAACGAAGCGAUAGUUCAUCAAGAAAUGGCGGCUUGUUGAUGCAGAAUGAAGAUGACGAAGCUAGUUCUUCACGAAGGAUGGGGGUGAAAACACAUGCGGAACAGCAAAGAGUCAGCUCUUCACAACAAGAGGAAUCUCGCUUAAGACUGAGCAUGCAGCGCUCCCGUCAAGAAGCUAUUUCUACAGAAACUGGCGCGGCGGGCAUGCAGGGUUCACAACACAGUUAUAGAGGCACUUCCCAAUCGAGAACGCAGAAAGCCGAAAAACAACAAAGAGAUGCACAUCAAAUUACCGUCGUUAGUCAUACACGAAGCGCUGGGUCAGGUGUGAGAACUGAGCAACAACACUCCAGUCAAACAGAAAAUUCUAGGUCGGCGACGCGGGGUUCACAACACAGUUAUACAGAUACUACCCAGUCGAGAACGCAGAAAGUCGAAAAACAACAAAGAGAUGCACAUCAAGUUACCGUCGUUAGUCAUACACGAAGCGCUGGGUCAGGUGUGAGAACUGAGCAGCAACACUCCAGUCAAACAGAAAAUUCUAGGUCGGCGACGCGGGGUUCACAACACAGUUAUACAGGUACUACCAUGUCAAGAACGGAGAAAGCAGAAAAACAACAAAGAGAUGCGCAUCAAAUUACCGCCGUUAGUCAUACACGAAGCGCUGGGUCAGGUGUGAGAACUGAGCAGCAACACUCCAGUCAAACAGAAAAUUCUAGGUCGGCGACGCGGGGUUCACAACACAGUUAUACAGGUACUACCCAGUCGAGGACGCAGAAAGCCGAAAAACAACAAAGAGAUGCACAUCAAACUACCGUCGUUAGUCAUACACGAAGCGCUGGGUCAGGUGUGAGAACUGAGCAGCAACACUCCAGUCAAACAGAAAAUUCUAGGUCGGCGACGCGGGGUUCACAACACAGUUAUACAGGUACUACCCAGUCGAGAACGCAGAAAGCCGAAAAACAACAAAGAGAUGCACAUCAAACUACCGUCGUUAGUCAUACACGAAGCGCUGGGUCAGGUGUGAGAACUGAGCAGCAACACUCCAGUCAAACAGAAAAUUCUAGGUCGGCGACGCAGGGUUCACAACACAGUUAUACAGGUACUACCAUGUCGAGAACGGAGAAAGCAGAAAAACAACAAAGAGAUGCACAUCAAACUACCGUCGUUAGUCAUACACGAAGCGCUGGGUCAGGUGUGAGAACUGAGCAGCAACACUCCAGUCAAACAGAAAAUUCUAGGUCGGCGACGCGGGGUUCACAACACAGUUAUACAGGUACUACCCAGUCGAGAACGCAGAAAGCCGAAAAACAACAAAGAGAUGCACAUCAAACUACCGUCGUUAGUCAUACACGAAGCGCUGGGUCAGGUGUGAGAACUGAGCAGCAACAUUCCAGUCAAACAGAAAAUUCUAGGUCGGCGACGCAGGGUUCACAACACAGUUAUACAGGUACUACCAUGUCGAGAACGGAGAAAGCAGAAAAACAACAAAGAGAUGCACAUCAAACUACCGUCGUUAGUCAUACACGAAGCGCUGGGUCAGGUGUGAGAACUGAGCAGCAACACUCCAGUCAAACAGAAAAUUCUAGGUCGGCGACGCGGGGUUCACAACACAGUUAUACAGGUACUACCAUGUCGAGAACGGAGAAAGCAGAAAAACAACAAAGAGAUGCGCAUCAAAUUACCGCCGUUAGUCAUACACGAAGCGCUGGGUCAGGUGUGAGAACUGAGCAGCAACACUCCAGUCAAACAGAAAAUUCUAGGUCGGCGACGCGGGGUUCACAACACAGUUAUACAGGUACGAACAUGUCGAGAACGGAGAAAGCAGAAAAACAACAAAGAGAUGCACAUCAAACUACCGUCGUUAGUCAUACACGAAGCGCUGGGUCAGGUGUGAGAACUGAGCAGCAACACUCCAGUCAAACAGAAAAUUCUAGGUCGGCGACGCGGGGUUCACAACACAGUUAUACAGGUACUACCCAGUCGAGAACGCAGAAAGCCGAAAAACAACAAAGAGAUGCACAUCAAACUACCGUCGUUAGUCAUACACGAAGCGCUGGGUCAGGUGUGAGAAGUGAGCAGCAACACUCCAGUCAAACAGAAAAUUCUAGGUCGGCGACGCGGGGUUCACAACACAGUUAUACAGGUACUACCCAGUCGAGAACGCAGAAAGCCGAAAAACAACAAAGAGAUGCACAUCAAACUACCGUCGUUAGUCAUACACGAAGCGCUGGGUCAGGUGUGAGAACUGAGCAGCAACACUCCAGUCAAACAGAAAAUUCUAGGUCGGCGACGCGGGGUUCACAACACAGUUAUACAGGUACUACCAUGUCGAGAACGGAGAAAGCAGAAAAACAACAAAGAGAUGCGCAUCAAAUUACCGCCGUUAGUCAUACACGAAGCGCUGGGUCAGGUGUGAGAACUGAGCAGCAACACUCCAGUCAAACAGAAAAUUCUAGGUCGGCGACGCGGGGUUCACAACACAGUUAUACAGGUACUAACAUGUCGAGAACGGAGAAAGCAGAAAAACAACAAAGAGAUGCACAUCAAACUACCGUCGUUAGUCAUACACGAAGCGCUGGGUCAGGUGUGAGAACUGAGCAGCAACACUCCAGUCAAACAGAAAAUUCUAGGUCGGCGACGCGGGGUUCACAACACAGUUAUACAGGUACUACCCAGUCGAGAACGCAGAAAGCCGAAAAACAACAAAGAGAUGCACAUCAAACUACCGUCGUUAGUCAUACACGAAGCGCUGGGUCAGGUGUGAGAACUGAGCAGCAACACUCCAGUCAAACAGAAAAUUCUAGGUCGGCGACGCGGGGUUCACAACACAGUUAUACAGGUACUACCCAGUCGAGAACGCAGAAAGCCGAAAAACAACAAAGAGAUGCACAUCAAACUACCGUCGUUAGUCAUACACGAAGCGCUGGGUCAGGUGUGAGAACUGAGCAGCAACACUCCAGUCAAACAGAAAAUUCUAGGUCGGCGACGCAGGGUUCACAACACAGUUAUACAGGUACUACCAUGUCGAGAACGGAGAAAGCAGAAAAACAACAAAGAGAUGCACAUCAAACUACCGUCGUUAGUCAUACACGAAGCGCUGGGUCAGGUGUGAGAACUGAGCAGCAACACUCCAGUCAAACAGAAAAUUCUAGGUCGGCGACGCGGGGUUCACAACACAGAUAUACAGGUACUAACAUGUCGAGAACGGAGAAAGCAGAAAAACAACAAACAGAUGCACAUCAAAUUACCGUCGUUAGUUAUGCAGGAAGCGCUGGGUCAGGUGUGAGAACUGAGCAGCAACACUCCAGUCAAACAGAAAAUUCUAGGUCGGCGACGCGGGGUUCACAACACAGUUAUACAGGUACUAACAUGUCGAGAACAGAGGAAGCAGAAAAACAACAAAGAGAUGCGCAUCAAAUUACCGUCGUUAAUCAUACACGAAGCGCUGGGUCAGGUGUGAGAACUGAGCAGCAACACUCCAGUCAAACAGAAAAUUCUAGGUCGGCGACGCGGGGUUCACAACACAGUUAUACAGGUACUACCCAGUCGAGAACGCAGAAAGCCGAAAAACAACAAAGAGAUGCACAUCAAACUACCGUCGUUAGUCAUACACGAAGCGCUGGGUCAGGUGUGAGAACUGAGCAGCAACACUCCAGUCAAACAGAAAAUUCUAGGUCGGCGACGCAGGGUUCACAGCACAGUUAUACAGGUACUACCAUGUCGAGAACGGAGAAAGCAGAAAAACAACAAAGAGAUGCACAUCAAACUACCGUCGUUAGUCAUACACGAAGCGCUGGGUCAGGUGUGAGAACUGAGCAGCAACACUCCAGUCAAACAGAAAAUUCUAGGUCGGCGACGCGGGGUUCACAACACAGUUAUACAGGUACUACCAUGUCGAGAACGGAGAAAGCAGAAAAACAACAAAGAGAUGCGCAUCAAAUUACCGCCGUUAGUCAUACACGAAGCGCUGGGUCAGGUGUGAGAACUGAGCAGCAACACUCCAGUCAAACAGAAAAUUCUAGGUCGGCGACGCGGGGUUCACAACACAGUUAUACAGGUACUAACAUGUCGAGAACGGAGAAAGCAGAAAAACAACAAAGAGAUGCACAUCAAACUACCGUCGUUAGUCAUACACGAAGCGCUGGGUCAGGUGUGAGAACUGAGCAGCAACACUCCAGUCAAACAGAAAAUUCUAGGUCGGCGACGCGGGGUUCACAACACAGUUACACAGGUACUACCCAGUCGAGAACGCAGAAAGCCGAAAAACAACAAAGAGAUGCACAUCAAACUACCGUCGUUAGUCAUACACGAAGCGCUGGGUCAGGUGUGAGAACUGAGCAGCAACACUCCAGUCAAACAGAAAAUUCUAGGUCGGCGACGCAGGGUUCACAACACAGUUAUACAGGUACUACCUUGUCGAGAACGGAGAAAGCAGAAAAACAACAAAGAGAUGCACAUCAAACUACCGUCGUUAGUCAUACACGAAGCGCUGGGUCAGGUGUGAGAACUGAGCAGCAACACUCCAGUCAAACAGAAAAUUCUAGGUCGGCGACGCGGGGUUCACAACACAGAUAUACAGGUACUAACAUGUCGAGAACGGAGAAAGCAGAAAAACAACAAACAGAUGCACAUCAAAUUACCGUCGUUAGUUAUGCAGGAAGCGCUGGGUCAGGUGUGAGAACUGAGCAGCAACACUCCAGUCAAACAGAAAAUUCUAGGUCGGCGACGCGGGGUUCACAACACAGUUAUACAGGUACUAACAUGUCGAGAACAGAGAAAGCAGAAAAACGACAAAGAGAUGCGCAUCAAAUUACCGUCGUUAAUCAUACACGAAGCGCUGGGUCAGGUGUGAGAACUGAGCAGCAACACUCCAGUCAAACAGAAAAUUCUAGGUCGGCGACGCGGGGUUCACAACAGAGUUAUAGAGGUACUAACACGUCGAGAACGGAGAAAGCGGAAAAACAACAAAGAGAUGCACAUCAAAUUACCCUCGUUAGUCAUGCACGAAGGGCUGGGUCAGGUGUGAGAACUGAGCAGGAACACUCCAGUCAAACAGAAAAUUCUAGGUCGGCGACGCAGGGUUCACAACACAGUUAUACAGGUACUACCCAGUCGAGAACGGAGGCAGCAUUAAAACAGCACAGAGGUUCACAGCAAAUUAUCGUCACCAGUGAUGCACGAAGCGCUGGGUCAGGUGUGAGAACUCAUCAGCAACACUCCAGUCACACAGAAAAUUCUAGGUCGGCGACGCAGGGUUCACAACACAGUUAUACAGGUACUACCCAGUCGAGAACGGAGGCAGCAUUAAAACAGCAAAGAGGUUCGCAGCAAAUUAUCGUCACCAGUGAUGCACGAAGCGCUGGGUCAGGUGUGAGCACUCAUCAGCAACACUCCAGUCAAACAGAAAAUUCUAGGUCGGCGAUGCAGGCUGCACGGCAAGGCUCCAGUCUCAUCACAGGUGAACAGCAACACGCCAAGCACGCACAGAAUAUCCGAUGGAAAGCAGCAGAGCAAAGUGUGAAUCGUGCACAAAGCGCCAGUUCGACAGUUACAACCAAACAGCAGCACUCUAGUAAAAGAGGAAAUGCCAGGCUGGGAGAGCAGACUGCACGGCGAUGUGAGAGUCGUUCACAAAAUAGUCGGUCAAGCGUGACUGGUGGACGACAAGGCACUACACUUCCAUGUAAGGCCGGAAGGCGAGCACCAGAGCAAAGACACCCCAAUCCGAAUCCUAGACAACGCCUGCGAUGUGUCAAAGUGAAGACGACUAAAAGGCCCUCUUCAAACGCCCGGAGGUCAUACGUAAAGUGUCCAAGACAGAGACACUAAGGCACUACAUAUUUUAUUAGGAAGAGCAGAGUUACUCCUUUCGUUUUCUCCUUCGUAUAUUUACGCAAUAACUGUUGCUUCCCACGGUUCAAUCCGCGCACGUACGUAGGGUUUCCUAGGGAACGUGAAAUGAUAUUGUUUCUACACAUAUGCAUGAACUUCACAGAAUAAACAAAUAAUUGGUACAUCUGA